AAAAACUUAGGAUAAACUAAACCAAGAGCCUUCAAAGCUCAAAAAAGGGGUGUAACCCCCCUAGUUUUUG
This 70-nucleotide transfer RNA is filed under the name Anolis inexpectatus. RNAcentral's name for it is "tRNA-Trp". It matches the Rfam family "tRNA". Rfam says of the family: Transfer RNA (tRNA) molecules are approximately 80 nucleotides in length. Lineage: Eukaryota; Metazoa; Chordata; Lepidosauria; Squamata; Anolidae. The record is from RNAcentral.